AUGGCUGUCGUCAGCUCGUGUCGUGAGAUGUUGGGUUAAGUCCCGUAACGAGCGCAACCCUUGUCCUUAGUUGCCAGCACAUAAUGGUGGGAACUCUAAGGAGACUGCCGGUGACAAACCGGAGGAAGGUGGGGACGACGUCAAGUCAUCAUGGCCCUUACGGCCUGGGCUACACACGUGCUACAAUGGCUAGGACAGACGGCCGCAAACCCGCGAGGGGGAGCUAAUCCGACAAACCUAGUCGUAGUCCGGAUCGGAGUCUGCAACUCGACUCCGUGAAGUCGGAAUUGCUAGUAAUCGCGAAUCAGAAUGUCGCGGUGAAUACGUUCCCGGGCCUUGUACACACCGCCCGUCACACCAUGGGAGUGGGUUGCUCCAGAAGUGGUUAGUCUAACCUUCGGGAGGACGAUCACCACGGAGUGAUUCAUGACUGGGGUGAAGUCGUAACAAGGUAGCCCUAGGGGAACCUGGGGCUGGAUCACCUCCUUAAACGAUUGUGAAAUCACCCUUCAAGUGUUCACACAUCUGUCUUUAUCUGCGCGGUUGAUGCGAUGGUGGCAGCAAUGCCAUCAAGAGUGUGCCACGAUGCUCUGAGCCAACGGUUAUGCCGCAGGUGGCAGAACUGGCAAAGCAGGCUGUUGUCCUCACUUUUACGAGUGCGGGGAGAACGCCCUCAGGCAGAGCGGCAGAAGUCACGCUAGGCCUGUAGCUCAGUUGGUUAGAGCGCACCCCUGAUAAGGGUGAGGUCGGCAGUUCAAAUCUGCCCAGGCCUACCAAGCACUUUGGGGCUAUAGCUCAGCUGGGAGAGCGCCUGCCUUGCACGCAGGAGGUCUGCGGUUCGAUCCCGCAUAGCUCCACCAACUCUUUUCGCAUCGAACUCAGACAAGGGCGCAUACCGUGUGCCCUUGUCUGGUUUCAACAACCAGAGUGUUCUUUAACAAGGUAAAUUAAGCUGAGUCUCUGAAUCAGCACUGUGUGGCAAGGUUCGCUUUGCUUCCUGUGGUGGUUCAGUGAUUAAAAAUUUUCAAGUGCCGUCUCAAUUCCGGCGCUUGGAACGAGUUAUACACACUGUGACUUAAGCGUCACAAUAUCCGGCGGAUAUUCACUUUGAUCGGUGAGUAUCUUGUAAGUACCUGGCCUUUGCCAAAGGGGGUCAGGGAAAUGUCUUCUUGGAAGCCCUUGUAGUGUGAGGGUGUUUAAUUCAGAUAGUUUGGAUUAUAUGGUCAAGUGACUAAGCGCAUACGGUGGAUGCCUUGGCAGUCAGAGGCGAUGAAGGACGUUGUAGCCUGCGAAAAGCUUCGGGGAGUCGGCAAACAGACUUUGAUCCGGAGAUGUCCGAAUGGGGAAACCCGG
RNAcentral lists this small RNA (1353 nucleotides) under uncultured bacterium. RNAcentral describes it as "bacterial SSU rRNA". The stretch from base 1 to 489 matches the Rfam family "Bacterial small subunit ribosomal RNA", at positions 1045 to 1533 of the family's 1533-position model. The record is from RNAcentral.